Long non-coding RNA from Brassica rapa (field mustard), 707 nucleotides. RefSeq lists it as uncharacterized. NCBI's taxonomy places the organism in Eukaryota, Viridiplantae, Streptophyta, Magnoliopsida, Brassicales, Brassicaceae. The record is from RefSeq and is a predicted model, not a curated record.
CUAGCUGUGUCUUAGAGCAACAUUAACGGGGUAUGAUAGAGGAAGUCGUUAGGCUUUAUAUGAUUUUAUUUAAAUAAAAAUUGUAUAAUUUCGCUGGGACGGACGCGGUUUGUCGUUGGCUAACAUAUUUUUUUUUUGUCCUUAGGUGAUACGUGUCGGCAAUGGAAUGGUGGAAGCGUUUUGGUUUGAGAAAUGAUUCACGUGUUGCCCUUUGGGCCUUGUCUCUUUGAAAGAGAGAGAGAGAGUUGAAGAUCGAUGGCGGAAGGCACGAUGAUCCCCAGCAACUGAAGAAGGGAAGCCAUAGCUUCAGGCAGAGGCUACUUCUCUGAACCCUUUCUUCGACGCCUAUCAUCAGGCAGAGGCUGAAUCCUAGACUCCAACAUCACGAGAUGUCUCUCCUCCGCCUCUUCGAGACUGUCUCCGAUGACUGCAUCACACUUGCCCUCAUCCAGGCGUAGAGGGAAAGAUUGUGGUUGAGCUGAUUUUGCUGGGCAAAUCUGGAUGCAGGGGCAAACAUUAUCUGAUUUUUUCUUAAUUGUUCUGUUCUUUUUUUUUGGUUUCGGGUAUGUGGAUUUGAUUUUGUGAUCGUUGUUCUGAUUGUGCAAGGAGGAGUCUCUUGCACAUAGAACAUAGAAACUACCUUUUUAUAUAGUUUGUAAUCAAAGAUUUACUCUACUUAUUUGUGCUUCACGUUUCAUUGUUGAGAU